GCCCGAGUGGCGGAAUGGUAGACGCAGGGGAUUCAAAAUCCCCCGCCUUCACGGGCGUGUGGGUUCGACUCCCACCUCGGGCA
RNAcentral lists this transfer RNA (83 nucleotides) under Actibacterium atlanticum. It matches the Rfam family "tRNA". Rfam says of the family: Transfer RNA (tRNA) molecules are approximately 80 nucleotides in length. Their secondary structure includes four short double-helical elements and three loops (D, anti-codon, and T loops). The record is from Rfam by way of RNAcentral. Lineage: Bacteria; Pseudomonadati; Pseudomonadota; Alphaproteobacteria; Rhodobacterales; Roseobacteraceae.